RNAcentral lists this ribosomal RNA (962 nucleotides) under Suncus etruscus (white-toothed pygmy shrew). Its description in RNAcentral is "partial 16S ribosomal RNA". It matches the Rfam family "Bacterial large subunit ribosomal RNA", at positions 961 to 2577 of the family's 2925-position model. The record is from RNAcentral. Lineage: Eukaryota; Metazoa; Chordata; Mammalia; Eulipotyphla; Soricidae.
UAAUUUUAAUGUAAACUUAAAUGUUAAUCUGCAGAGGUACAGCUCUGCAGAAUAAGAUAACAACCUUAAUUAGAGAGUAAAUUUAUAUAACAACCAUAGUUGGCCUAAAAGCAGCCACCAAUUAAGAAAGCGUUCAAGCUCAACAAUUAAAUUUACACAUAAUUCAAAAAAUAAUAUGAACUCCUAAUUUAAUUACUGGAUUAUUCUACCCACAUGUAGAAGCAAUACUGUUAAUAUGAGUAACAAGAUUUUAAAUCUCCAAACACACGUGUAUAUCAACCCGAAUACUAACUGAUAAUUAACAAUUAGACAAAUCCAAACAUUUAAUUAAUAAUUUUCCACCAUAUUGUUAAUCCAACACCGGAGUGUACUUAAGGAAAGAUUAAAAAAAGUAAAAGGAACUCGGCAAACAUAAACCCCGCCUGUUUACCAAAAACAUCACCUCUAGCAUUACCAGUAUUAGAGGCACUGCCUGCCCAGUGACAUUAGUUUAACGGCCGCGGUAUCCUGACCGUGCAAAGGUAGCAUAAUCAUUUGUUCCUUAAUUAGGGACUUGUAUGAAAGGCUCCACGAGGGUUUAACUGUCUCUUACUUUCAAUCAGUGAAAUUGACCUUCCCGUGAAGAGGCGGGAAUAAAAAAAUAAGACGAGAAGACCCUAUGGAGCUUAAAUUAAAUUAUCUAAUAAAUUAAAACUUAAUCCAAUGGCAUAACAAUAUAUUUAACUAGAUAACAAAUUUUGGUUGGGGUGACCUCGGAGUAUAACCUAACCUCCGAGCUAUAUAAACUAAGACUUACCUGUCAAAGUGAAAUAACUUAUUGAUCCAAUCUUAUUGAUCAACGGAAUAAGUUACCCUAGGGAUACCAGCGCAAUCCUAUUUAAGAGUUCAUAUCGACAUUAGGGUUUACGACCUCGAUGUUGGAUCAGGACACCCAAUGGUGCAGCAGCUAUUAAAGGUUCGUU